CCUCUAGUGGCUGUCUCAUUGACAGCCGCUAGAGGCACUUGCGUGCUUCUCACUGUGAUUUUCACAGUGAGAGCACGCCAGCGUCCAUAGGAAAGCAUUAUGAAUGCUUUCCUAUGUGACCAGCUGAAUGCGCGCGCAUUCAGCCGACGAAGAGGAGGAGAGCUCUCUGCCCAGAGCUGGAAAAAGGUAAGUUUUAACCCCUUUCCAGAACCGGGUGGGAGGGGGAC
Molecule: non-coding RNA, 227 nt
Organism: Pelobates cultripes (western spadefoot toad)
Lineage: Eukaryota; Metazoa; Chordata; Amphibia; Anura; Pelobatidae
Source: the annotation of a GenBank genome assembly